Molecule: unclassified non-coding RNA, 291 nt
Filed under: Hevea brasiliensis (rubber tree)
Lineage: Eukaryota; Viridiplantae; Streptophyta; Magnoliopsida; Malpighiales; Euphorbiaceae
Source: RNAcentral
CACACCUUUUCUGAACCCGACUUCCCAGAGAUUGCGAUACGGCCUGCGGGGGUGAAGUGGACUUCAGAUAAUUCGCGACGCAGCCAGCGCUUGCGAAGUGCAAGGUCUACGGCUCCCUGUUCGUCAGCGUUAUCUCGCGUGCCAUGCAGCCAGCCACGACUGAAGAAACGUACAGUCGGCCUCUGUCAGCUUAUUCAUCUACAGCUCCAUGAGGAUUGGUCCAGCGAAGAUUCGCUGCAAGGAGAGAACCCCGACUUCGAGGAUUCCGCGACUGAGACGGGCUCCAGGAUG